UAGCCAAGUGUUGCCAGAAAAAUGGAUUUAAGUUCCCCAUGCUGUGGAGACCUCACUUGGAAGAGCUGAAUUUUUAUUUCUUUCCAAAGACAGAGAGCUUUAAUUUGUAAAAAUCUCCAAAGCAUUUCUAUGUCCUUGUGUGAAAGAUGCUACAGGAACACAAAAUGGGAUUGUUUUUCUGUAGUGAAACUGCAAGUGUUAAUGUUCCAGUGUUUCACAAUCCACAGAAGAACUUAUGUUCGUGAUACCUUUUUUUCCUGAACAGUGAUAUUUGCAGUGCUACUUGUCUUUUUCUCUUUCUCUUUUGUUUUUGGUAAACAACAGUACUCAAUGACAAGUAUCAGCAGAAAGCAGCAGAGAUUAAAAAAAUGUUUCAAAGUGCUCAGUGGCAGUGGGCAGAGGAGCAGCAAAGAUUUGCAGUGGAGAAAGAUAACAUCCGCAGAGUGUACCUCGCUGCAGUGGAAUACCUUAUUAAAGAAAAAACUCAAACAGAGAAGGCUUGCCAGGAAAAGAAUGCUGUCCUGCAAAACAUGCUCAGGAAGUUGAGGGAUAUGGAGGUAGAGCACCAUGGCUGCAGCGAGAUCCCGAGGCUCCGGGCUGAUCAUCUGGAUCUCGAGGAUAGACAGAAGGACAGACUUGUCAGGGAGCUGGAGAUCCUCAAAUGUGCAAUGGAGAGAGGGGGCUGAGGAAAGGAAGGAAACUGAAGAACCCUCUGGGAGAUUAGUGGAUGCUGCAACCGGCCUGAGCCUGCGUGAAAGCCCAGUGAUGUGUCAUCUAGAAUACAUUUGCAAGCACAAGACUGACACUAUGAACAACCUUCAGCAGAACCAGGAGGGUGCUUUAGCAAAAAUGUCUGAAAAGUUAAAAGCACAGGAAGAUUGCUGGCAGAAAGAAAAGCAACAUCUUGAACACCAGAACUCAAAUCUCCUUGCAGAAUUUCAUGCAAGACCACAAGUAUGGCACUGUGAACUUCUAAUUUUUUUCUUGCAACAUUUGAUGGAUUUUUUUCAGUAGUUUAAGCCCCUUAGCAGUUUAAGGUCAUUUGGGAAUUUUAGUAUAUUUUUUAAGUUAAGGAAAAAAAAGCUUACAGCAAACCAACCCGUCAUUGCACUCACAUUAACAUCACUUAAAAUAAGAAAUAAAUGACUUUGUUGAAGCAUUCUGAAGAGAAUUUGGUCUGCAGCCCCAAUUCAGAAGCCUGAUUUGGUCUAUUUUUGGUAGUAUUUUGGCAGUAUUUUUUGUUUCUGAGAAUGUUAAAGCUGUAAGAUCAAAUUUGCUUAUUUUAAGAAUUACAGGGGACAGCAGCUGCUUUUUCAGCACCAUCAUUUGCAGAGAUUGUAUAGAGCAACAAUAAUGUGGGGAUGAAUUUAGUUACAUGUGUACUGACCCUAAGACAAUGGCAGAUUUCAACGGUGUUAAGUGACUCUAUUGCACUGAUAUUACAGUCAGAAGUGGUUUAGAGGUGUAAAACUCUCACUGCUUGUUAGAUGAGUUAUUUGCAAACCCAAAUGUUCCCUGUUGUUCCACAACCACCAUUUACCAUCACAUUCCUUCACAUCUUUUUCAUUUAAAAGUGUUGUGAAUAAAGAAAAUAGAUGUCCAUUGU
This 1606-nucleotide long non-coding RNA is filed under the name Ficedula albicollis (Collared flycatcher). RNAcentral's name for it is "lncRNA (ENSFALG00000027328.1)". Lineage: Eukaryota; Metazoa; Chordata; Aves; Passeriformes; Muscicapidae. The record is from RNAcentral.